Molecule: long non-coding RNA, 317 nt
Organism: Dromaius novaehollandiae (emu)
Lineage: Eukaryota; Metazoa; Chordata; Aves; Casuariiformes; Dromaiidae
Exons: 3
Source: RefSeq, a predicted model, not a curated record
AGGCAGCCUCCUCUGUCCCCGGGGCGCUCAAAGAAUUUGUGAGACCUGAGCUGCUGGAUGGUGAGAAUUGCUACAAAUGCAGCAAGUGUGAGAAGAUGGUUGCUGCGUCCAAGAGGUUUACAAUACAUUGCUCUUCCAACGUUCUCACCAUAGCCCUGAAAAGAUUUGCCAACUUCACUGGUGGAAAGAUUAGCAAGGAUGUGGAAUAUCCAGAGUAUUUGGACCUGCGAGCAUACAUGUCUCAGCCAGUUGGAGAACCAGUCCUCUACGCCUUAUAUGCAGUCCUGGUGCACAGAGGUGCCAGCGGUCGUGCAGGA